This 74-nucleotide transfer RNA is filed under the name Acidimicrobiia bacterium. RNAcentral's name for it is "tRNA-Trp". It matches the Rfam family "tRNA". Rfam says of the family: Transfer RNA (tRNA) molecules are approximately 80 nucleotides in length. The record is from RNAcentral. RNAcentral also lists the same sequence under 1 other name. Lineage: Bacteria; Bacillati; Actinomycetota; Acidimicrobiia.
AGGGGUGUAGCUCUAAUUGGCAGAGCGCCGGUCUCCAAAACCGGAGGUUGUGGGUUCGAGCCCCGCCACCCCUG